Molecule: ribosomal RNA, 2648 nt
Filed under: metagenome
Description: bacterial LSU rRNA
Rfam family: Bacterial large subunit ribosomal RNA
Source: RNAcentral
UCAAGCUACAAAGGGCGCAUGGUGAAUGCCUUGGCAUCAGGAGCCGAUGAAGGACGUGAUAAGCUGCGAUAAGCUUCGGGUAGGCGCACAUAGCCUGAGAUCCGAAGAUCUCCGAAUGAGGAAACUCACAUGGGAAACCCCAUGUAUCAUUAAGUGAAUACAUAGCUUAAUGAAGGUAACCCAGGGAACUGAAACAUCUAAGUACCUGGAGGAAGAGAAAGAAAAAUCGAUUUUCUUAGUAGCGGCGAGCGAAAGGGAAAGAGCCCAAACCGGAAACUUGUUUCCGGGGUUGUGGACAUAACAUAAAAGUGGAGGCUAUUGUAACUGAAGAGAACUGGAAAGUUCCACCGUAGAAGGUAAUAGUCCUGUAAGUGAAACGAGAAGACCACGAGUUAUGAUCCAGAGUACCACGAGACACGUGAAACCUUGUGGGAAGCAGGGAGGACCACCUCCCAAGGCUAAAUACUACCUGAUGACCGAUAGUGAAGCAGUACCGUGAGGGAAAGGUGAAAAGAACCCCGGGAGGGGAGUGAAAUAGAACCUGAAACCGUGUGCCUACAACCGCUCAGAGCCCCUUAUGAGGGUGAUGAGGUGCUUUUUGUAGAACGAGCCAACGAGUUACGGUAUGUAGCAAGGUUAAGUACUUAAGGUACGGAGCCGAAGGGAAACCGAGUCUGAAUAGGGCGACUAGUUGCAUGCCGUAGACCCGAAACCGGGUGACCUAUCCAUGGCCAGGUUGAAGCGAGGGUAAAACCUCGUGGAGGACCGAACCACGUUGCUGUUGAAAAAGCAUGGGAUGAGCUGUGGAUAGCGGAGAAAUUCCAAUCGAACCCGGAGAUAGCUGGUUCUCUCCGAAAUAGCUUUAGGGCUAGCGUCGAGUAUGAGUAGUGGAGGUAGAGCACUGAAUGGGCUAGGGGGCAUAGCGCUUACCGAACCUUAUCAAACUCCGAAUGCCACAUACUUUGAGCUCGGCAGUCAGACUACGAAUGAUAAGAUCCGUGGUCAAAAGGGAAACAGCCCAGAUCGUCAGCUAAGGUCCCAAAGUGUAAGUUAAGUGGGAAAGGAUGUGAGAUUUCUAAGACAACUAGGAUGUUGGCUUAGAAGCAGCCAUUCAUUAAAAGAGUGCGUAAUAGCUCACUAGUCGAGAGAUCUUGCGCCGAAAAUGUAACGGGGCUAAACUUACCACCGAAGCUACGGGCUUGAACUUAGUUCAAGCGGUAGGAGAGCGUCGUAACCGGGCUGAAGUCGUACCGUAAGGAGCGGUGGACUGGUUACGAGUGAGAAUGUUGGCAUCAGUAGCGAGAUGUGGGUGAGAAUCCCACAGGCCGAAAACCUAAGGUUUCCUCAGGAAGGUUCGUCCGCUGAGGGUUAGUCGGGACCUAAGCCGAGGCCGAAAGGCGUAGGUGAUGGACAACUGGUUGAUAUUCCAGUACCACUACCAUCGUUAUUAUCGAUGGCGUGACGCAGGAGGAUAGUGUGUGCUAGCUAUUGGAUGCUAGUCUAAGCGUUUAGGCAGUGAGAGUAGGCAAAUCCGCUCUCAUAAUGCUGAGGCGUGAUGGGGAAGGUUCUACGGAACCGAAGUACAUGAUUCCACGCUGCCAAGAAAAGCGUCUAGAGAGAGAAGUAGUGCCCGUACCGCAAACCGACACAGGUAGGUGAGGAGAGAAUCCUAAGGCCGGCGGAAGAAUUACAGUUAAGGAACUCGGCAAAUUGACCCCGUAAGUUCGCGAGAAGGGGUGCCUACGAGAGUAGGCCGCAGAGAAUAGGCCCAAGCAACUGUUUAGCAAAAACACAGGUCUCUGCUAAAGCGUAAGCUGAUGUAUAGGGGCUGACGCCUGCCCGGUGCUGGAAGGUUAAGGGGAACACUUAGCGCAAGCGAAGGUGUGAACUUAAGCCCCAGUAAACGGCGGCCGUAACUAUAACGGUCCUAAGGUAGCGAAAUUCCUUGUCAGGUAAGUUCUGACCCGCACGAAUGGCGUAAUGACUUGGGCACUGUCUCAACUGUAAAUCCGGCGAAGUUGUAGUGCGAGUGAAGAUGCUCGCUACCCGCGAUUGGACGGAAAGACCCCGUAGAGCUUUACUGUAGCUUAGCAUUGAGUUUUGGUAUUGUCUGUACAGGAUAGGUGGGAGACUAGGAAACCAGGGCGUCAGCCUUGGUGGAGUCAACCUUGGGAUACCACCCUGACAGUACUGAAAUUCUAACUGGCGGCCAUGAAUCUGGUCACAGGACAUUGUUAGGUGGGCAGUUUGACUGGGGCGGUCGCCUCCUAAAAAGUAACGGAGGCGCCCAAAGGUUCCCUCAGAACGGUCGGAAAUCGUUCGAAGAGUGCAAAGGCAGAAGGGAGCCUGACUGCGACACCCACAAGUGGAGCAGGGACGAAAGUCGGGCUUAGUGAUCCGGUGGUACCUCGUGGGAGGGCCAUCGCUCAACGGAUAAAAGCUACCUCGGGGAUAACAGGCUGAUCUCCCCCAAGAGUCCACAUCGACGGGGAGGUUUGGCACCUCGAUGUCGGCUCGUCGCAUCCUGGGGCUGAAGUAGGUCCCAAGGGUUGGGCUGUUCGCCCAUUAAAGCGGCACGCGAGCUGGGUUCAGAACGUCGUGAGACAGUUCGGUCCCUAUCCGUCGCGGGCGUAGGAAAUUUGAGAGGA